CUCAAAAUAAAAUACCAAGAAAUCCCUAAAAAAAGACAUCCCAUUCGGCCUUUCCCCAGCAAAGUCAAUGUCCUCUCUCCAAAAUUCCUCCAUACAUCUCUCUAUUAAAUUCAAUAGGCGAUUUACCUUCUCCCUUCCCUCACGCCUCUCUUAUCUCCUCUCCUUCAUCAUUUCCGCACAAACCUAAUCUAAAUUACCCGAGCCCUAGUAAAUCGACUCAAUGCGAGCAUUUUAAGAAAAAACCAUAAGUCUACUCUCUGCCUCAAGGCCUGCAAUCGUUGAUACAAUGGGUCGAUCAGAUUCUGAGCCUAUGUGUUCGACUGACUAUUAUUGUGAAUCGUUGCUUUUAGCGGCUGAUGCAGGCAAAUGGGUUUAGGUUUUUCUCUACUAGCGUAAUUAUUUUGAUCGUUUCUUGCUCUUCAAUGGCUCGAAGAGAAUCAAAAUUGAAGCAGCAAAUGGAGAAAAUAUGAGAUAGUUGAUUUUUCUCAUACGAUUUGGGUGAAUUUAUUCUAGGGGAGAUAUUAACUUGACGAUUAUGCUUGUGUAUAGCUACAAUGGAACAUAAAUCGACAGUUCAGAGUAAGUUUCAUUUUCCCUGGCGGAUACUCUGUGAAAACUCUUACCUUUAUAGGCUAAGAAAAUAAGAAUCCACAAUUACCUAAUCUAAAAGGGAAAGCUAACUUUUUCUUGUGCUAGGUAAAAAUGAGAAACUCUAGCUUUUCUAGUUAUCGACACAUUUUUUCCCUACUAAAUCUUGAUCCAUUAGUUAUAGGUAGAGCUCAAUAAACACAUAAUUAUGGUUUUAUGACUAUUUGAGACUAGUUACAAUGAUGUUCCCACACCUAAUUGACCAUUUCAAUAUUGCGGGUUAUGACGAGGUAGUUUGCCUUCUUAGUUUUCAUCUGUUUUUAGAAUGAAAAAGCAUAUAAUGUACCAAUUUCUAUUUGCUUAAAGGAGAAACUCUCUGGAACAUACAAUAUCUUGAUCGAUCAUCUCAAAAAAGUUUAUGGUAUUUUUGCACAAGGGAUGACUUGUUAACCUACAGUGUCAUGGUUAGUCGUGGUCUUGUAUAAUUUGCUCAUUGGUAACUGCUUAGGUUUUAAUUUUUAUUCAACUUUAGUUUUUCAUCUCUCUCACUAGAUAUUGGUUGUGGCAAACUGAUGGCUUUACUUAAGGUGAAUAUUUUGCCGUAUAAUAGACAUAUUUGGUAUUUUAUCUCUGCUUCACCUUCUUUUUUUGGAAAAUAUAUUCAUUAUCUAAGCUUUUCUUCUGGUUUGAGUAGUCAAUUGAUAUGUUCUGGAUAUACUGAUAUUUAGGCUAAGAGUCAUAAAUUUAGGUGGUGGUUAUUGCAGGAAGGAUUUUAGUACUAUCAUACUAAAGCAACACACGUAAUUUUUGUCUAUUGGAUACGAGAUACCCGUCACACAUAGCCUACUAAUGCUUCUCAUUGUGUUGGUAUUUGGUGCCCUUGUUCUGAACAACAAUGGACAGGUCUAUAAAGUUUAAUUGAUGUUUCAUUUAAAUUAAGAAUAUGAUAGGUGAGAUUAGUUUGCCAUAACAUCCUAAGAGGAAUUGUCAUAACGUUUAAAGUCAUUAGCUUCUUGGUAUAAUCUUCCGUUAUUAUUUUAAGAAAUUAUGAUGAUCAUGUUUUCAAGUAAUGAAUUUAAUGAUUGUUUAGACUACUAGUUUGUCAGGAUGCAUAUAUGCUUAUGAAGAAAUAGUGAAUGCAAAAUUUUAAUUUGGGAGAAAUUACCUGAGACAUCAGUCAUUCACUCACAAAUGAAUUCUUUACCUUCCUUGUGGUUAGACAUUGUGCUACAUUGCAACUUUUCAUUUCCCCAUUCUUGCAAUGCUACCUUUUUUGUGGGAUUAUUGCAUCAUGGGAAUUCAAAUUGUCAUUUUCUCAUUUUAAAUGUCAAAUUCAUAUUGCUGUACAGGGUUCAGAUAGAAGCAUCAUUUGGGAAAUAUCGUCUCUGCUUAUAUGCUAAAUGUUUUAAUGCUACUGACCAUAAAAUCAUGAAAUAUCCUCUGUUAUACAAAUGCAUGAACUGCUAUGUCCCAAUUGCAUAUUAUAUGAGUAAGAAAAACGUAUGUAUUAUCCUCAAGAAAGCAGUAUAGUUUAUAGUUUAAACAAUAGUGAAAAUGCAGUUAAAGUAAAUAACAUGCUACCUGAUGUUAUUACAUAUGUUGAGAAAGGUCAAAUGGGAACUAAAUAAGCAAUCCUCAUACCAUGUUAGUUAAAUAUAACAGUUCUAGAUGAGUUCCUUUAGAAAAUCUUCGGACUCCUCUGCUCAUUUUGUAACUUGAAGUUUUGUAUGCACUGGGACUGUUAGCAUUGGUAGCGUAACCUAUAUAGUCCUGAUGUAAAAGGUUAUUCUCCUAAUCAGCUUACAUAAAUAGUUAAAUAUCUUUUGGUAUUU
Long non-coding RNA from Nicotiana attenuata, 2420 nucleotides. RefSeq lists it as uncharacterized. NCBI's taxonomy places the organism in Eukaryota, Viridiplantae, Streptophyta, Magnoliopsida, Solanales, Solanaceae. The record is from RefSeq and is a predicted model, not a curated record. The transcript has 2 exons.